GAUUCCCCCUGUUUCUGGGCCUUUAAUCGGCCCCUGUUCCUUCGGAAUCCAGAAACAACCCUUUUCCAGGAAGGCCAGGGAGAGGAAAGGGGAAGCUGGAAAGGGCUCUUGAGAAGCAGUAGGAGAGAAAACAAGGGGUCAAGGGGACCUCAGCUAUUACAGGUUCACUCUGGAAUCUGGGGGUCUGAACGGCAAACCAGGCAACUUGUGUGGUGACCUGUGUGAGCGGAACAUGGCCCUCACAAAGCCCUUUCUUUUCUCUCUUUAGAGAGAUGGACUAGCACCCCCUUAUCGGCUGUGAGCACGGAGGAGCUCCACGGGGGCGGAGUGCCUCGCUUUGCUUGUAGGUCUGGACCCGAGAUUCCUGUGAUAAACUGGAAAACAAUUCAGUGCGCUUCACUGUUAGAUGCGGCUCUUUCAAAGGCAGGGAAAAGGAGGCCCUCAGGAAAGAGCUGUCUGGUCCAGCCCAGGCAUAGAGGCUUCCAGACGUUUCCAGGGGCCGAGCUGCUUUCCCUUCUCCAGAGAGAUGGCCUGGCUUGUGCACUCAUGCAAGACGCUGCUAGAAGAGAAAACCCUGUUACACAGAGGAUGGAGUGAUUUAUGCAGACUGCAGUUUAAAGGGCAUUUCGCAGCCCUGUGGAAUGCAAGAGGCAGCAGGAUUUGAAGACCUUUCUCUUCAAGCUGGAAAGCCGUACGACAGAUUCUCACUGCAUCCUGAUUACGCAGUGACUCUGUCUCCCUAGCAAAUGGCCCGUGGAGAAUGAAGGAGAAAGCAGGAAUGCCCUCCUCAAAAGUGAUUACGUGGAAAUUUGGAUUCCAAGGAUGGAGAGGGAAGCAUGUGGCUUUGUGCUGAGCUGUGUAAUACGUCAGGGCUCAGAAGAUACUGUGAGACAGAUAACAGAGGCAGCAGCAGGCUCUAUUUAGAGAAGAGAGAUGAGUAGAAUUCCAUGUCCUAUGGUCCACCUGUCCUGUCUCCAGGUGUUGACAUGUAAAUUAUGAGCCCAGUCACAGGCACCCUACGUGUGCUUCCUUGGCCUUUCUUCUGGCCCUGUAGACAGUGGGCUGACUUUGGUCACCAGUGCU
Molecule: non-coding RNA, 1083 nt
Organism: Mus caroli (Ryukyu mouse)
Lineage: Eukaryota; Metazoa; Chordata; Mammalia; Rodentia; Muridae
Source: RefSeq, a predicted model, not a curated record